This 434-nucleotide ribosomal RNA is filed under the name uncultured bacterium. RNAcentral's name for it is "bacterial SSU rRNA". It matches the Rfam family "Bacterial small subunit ribosomal RNA", at positions 340 to 767 of the family's 1533-position model. The record is from RNAcentral.
UACGGGAGGCAGCAGUGGGGAAUAUUGCACAAUGGGCGAAAGCCUGAUGCAGCUAUGCCGCGUGUAUGAAGAAGGCCUUAGGGUUGUAAAGUACUUUCAUCGGGGAGGAAAAACAAAACUAAUAAUUUUAUUUCUUGACGUUACCCGAAAAAGAAGCACCGGCUAACUCCGUGCCAGCAGCCGCGGUAAUACGGAGGGUGCUAGCGUUAAUCAGAAUUACUGGGCGUAAAGAGCACGUAGGUGGUUUUUUAAGUCAGAUGUGAAAUCCCUGGGCUUAACCUAGGAACUGCAUUUUGAAACUGAAAUACUAGAGUAUCGUAGAGGGAGGUAGAAUUCUAGGUGUAGCGGUGAAAUGCGUAGAUAUCUGGAGGAAUACCUGUGGCGAAAGCGGCCUCCUAAACGAAUACUGACACUGAGGUGCGAAAGCGUGGGGA